AAACGGUACCGUUUUAUUUCUCUCCCCCCGAAUCCCUUUUCUUUCCCGAUACCCUUUUCUUUCUCAGCCUAUUCUUUGCUUGACUAAAAUUAAAAACCUGUUCUUCUAUUUUAUACCCGAAAAUCCUCUCUACCUGUUGUUCUAUUUUAUUUCUCAGUCUGUUCUUUGAUUUCUCGAAACCUAAACACCCACUGUGCCCCCUUUCCUCAGAGGCUGUAACCGAGCAACUGUUUACCUAGUUUCCCGACGCCUAGCCACUUUACCCAGCAGCGAACUUAGUCUUAGCAAGUAUGUGAGGUUUUUGAUGUUUUUUUGUUUGGGUUUGGUAAAAUUUACUUUAGUUUUCAAUCGUGUUAAAAUUUUAGAAAUUUUAAUUUGGGUAGUUCAAAUGUGCUUUAUUCAUUAACUGACCUAGAAUUCGGAUUUUGGAUUUAGAUUAAUAAAUUACAUGCCAUUAAGAUCGAUGGGUUACGUGAAGAAAUCCAUUCAGAGGGAUUUGGACAAUUGCAAUGCUAAGUUUUAAAUGAUUGAUAGAUUUUUGUUUCUUUUCUUUUAAGGAUGAUAAAUUUUUUUUAAAAUUUUUGUAGUUGUCAGGAUUUUUUGUAAGACUUUAUUAUCAAAAUGUAAGACCUCAAAGCGAGGAAAGCUCUCUCCGACUAUUUUUUUUGUUCACAAAAUUUGAACUCAGAGACUUUACUAAUCAGUAGGGACUUAACCUUGUUAGAGAAAAGUUAAAUUCAUGAGACCUUCGGGUUAAAGAUUACCUAAAUUCUCAGCUUGAGUUAGUGGCAACUUUAUAGUGAAUGAGAGCAGAUCUGUGGUGUUUCAAAUCUGGGGUACACUUUACACCAUUUAGAACUAUCUCAAAUUUGGAGUCAUUGCCAUUGGGUUGAAUUUGAUGAAACAUCUAUAGGCAAUAAUACAAUUAAUCACAGUGGCAUUCCAGGGUAUGAUUGUUUUUUUUAUUGAAGCAUAUAAAAGAACAUAUAUGUUGCAUUUUCUGCUUACAUAGUUCUUCCUUCCAGCUCUGAAUUGUAUGGACUUGAGCCUGCCCUGAUGGCCUUGCUUGGACUGCCCACAAUGGGACAAAAGAAGUAUUUGAUAGCAUGAAUAGUAUUUGUUAGCAAUAAAAUAAACUAAUGUAAUUAUUAGAAUAGUAAUUAUAUUUUUUAUACUUGUUUUUGUUAUUCUUUAAAAAAAAUUAGUAAUUUAUUAAUCCUUUGCUAAACAAAUUUUUUCUUUAAUGCAG
This 1249-nucleotide long non-coding RNA is filed under the name Gossypium barbadense (sea-island cotton). Its description in RNAcentral is "long non-coding RNA (GBAR_LNC017282)". The record is from RNAcentral. Lineage: Eukaryota; Viridiplantae; Streptophyta; Magnoliopsida; Malvales; Malvaceae.